UGACUCCACGCCCACAUCUUACAGAUGAGGAAACUGAGCACAAGGGGGAUAAGUCACCCAGCUUGGAGCUCAUCAUCAUAAAAGGCACCAUCACGAUGGCAGUGCUUGCCCCACUUCCCCUGGAGGCUUCCCCCGUUUCUACGAUCCCAGGAAGAUUCCACUGCAUGCCCGAAGCUCCCCAUCUUCACUUACUGAAACCAAAGACCCUUUCAAACUUAUAUUCAUUUAGCUCAAACAGCUGACAACAGUGAAAAUGUAAUCGUCCCUGGGAGGACCCACUACGGCCUAAUCCUAUCAGUACUAUAAAUAUAGGAUAUGAAGCUCUUA
Long non-coding RNA from Suricata suricatta (meerkat), 327 nucleotides. RefSeq lists it as uncharacterized. The record is from RefSeq and is a predicted model, not a curated record. The transcript is spliced from 2 exons. Lineage: Eukaryota; Metazoa; Chordata; Mammalia; Carnivora; Herpestidae.